GGAAUAUUGGACAAUGGGGGCAACCCUGAUCCAGCAAUGCCGCGUGAGUGAUGAAGGCCUUCGGGUUGUAAAGCUCUUUUGGCGGGGACGAUGAUGAGGGUACCCGCAGCAUAAGCCCCGGCUAACUUCGUGCCCGCAGCCGCGGUAAUACGAAGGGGGCUAGCGUUGUUCGGAAUUACUGGGCGUAAAGGGCGCGUAGGCGGUCCUGAUCGUCGGAUGUGAAAGGCCUGGGCUCAACCUGGGAACUGCAUCCGAUACGGCGGGACUGGAGUGUGGGAGAGGUUGGUGGAAUUCCCAGUGUAGAGGUGAAAUUCGUAGAUAUUGGGAAGAACACCGGUGGCGAAGGCGGCCAACUGGACCACAACUGACGCUGAGGCGCGACAGCGUGGGGAGCAA
Molecule: ribosomal RNA, 396 nt
Filed under: uncultured bacterium
Lineage: Bacteria
Description: bacterial SSU rRNA
Rfam family: Bacterial small subunit ribosomal RNA
Source: RNAcentral